RNAcentral lists this transfer RNA (72 nucleotides) under Tethya sp. XMU02001079. Its description in RNAcentral is "tRNA-Gly". It matches the Rfam family "tRNA". Rfam says of the family: Transfer RNA (tRNA) molecules are approximately 80 nucleotides in length. Their secondary structure includes four short double-helical elements and three loops (D, anti-codon, and T loops). The record is from RNAcentral. Lineage: Eukaryota; Metazoa; Porifera; Demospongiae; Tethyida; Tethyidae.
AUACGUAUAGUUUAUUUGGUAAAACAUAUGAUUUCCACUUAUAGGAGAGGGGUUCAAAUCCCCUUAUGUAUA